This is a long non-coding RNA of Carassius auratus (goldfish), 556 nucleotides long. RefSeq lists it as uncharacterized. NCBI's taxonomy places the organism in Eukaryota, Metazoa, Chordata, Actinopteri, Cypriniformes, Cyprinidae. The record is from RefSeq and is a predicted model, not a curated record. The transcript is spliced from 4 exons.
ACACGAGUGAGACCAGCAUCUGGCUAAGAGAGCCAAGAGUUAGAAGACCCUCCGGAGCCACAGCCUGCAACAGAGCUCACCACGCAGGCUGAUCCAGUACCCGCCACCCCAUUACCGCGACAACCGAGGGCCUGGAGUGCCUCAAGGAUGGCGAGUUUCUCAACGACGUCAUCAUUGACUUCUACCUCAAGGCUCACUGGUACCUCAGGGUGAUCUGUUUUCCCGGUCUGGAAUGGCCUGAGUGUGUGCCGUGGAGAAACAAAGGCCUUGUGUCCCAGGAUGAGAGUCAGACAGCCAAAGCGAGCUCUGCAGGUCAGAGAAAACCAUUCCUGGUGGAAACAAGAUUCUGGAUGGAUUCCUGGAUACAGACUCCAAAAGUUGAGUUCUUGUAAUUAGACUAUUUGACCUUUUGAAAUAGUAAUAGUGCCAUCACUACAAAAAGCAGUUGAAGCAUAGUCCCCAUAAUGGAUUUAUUUAAUCCAUUAAAGAAAAAAAGAAAGAUUAUAAAAGCAUCCCUUUUUCCAGAUGUACUAGAGAACACAAGUGUAGAACACAC